Long non-coding RNA from Amphiprion ocellaris (clown anemonefish), 699 nucleotides. Lineage: Eukaryota; Metazoa; Chordata; Actinopteri; Pomacentridae. The record is from Ensembl.
GAAACAUUAGAACUCACACUGAAACGGAGCUAGAGCUCUGUGUCCUGGAGAAGAUUUAUUUUCAAAGCAACACGUGUGACGGUAAUAAUCCGUACCAGAGCAGACCUCAUUAGCACUUCCGCUAGGUCGGCUAACCUUUCCGGUCACUCCAGGGACGCUGUUGUCGAGUGAAAGUAGCAGUUCCUCCUUAAGGUCAGAGAUUGCAGCAACUGCGGGCCUCUUCAAAAGACGACAUAGUUGAUGAAGGCGUUCUGGAGCAGGACCAGAAAGACCACGACCAAGCAGCCUUGAGAUCUUAGGCAGCGUCUCCCUCAGGUGGAUGUCAACGGUGUUCACGGCCAGACCAAAGAACUACAGACUCUUCACAACCUGCUCAAACUCUUGGUACAGGACCUCACCACACGGGUCAAGAAGGUUUCCGUCUCAUUUCUACUCUGAAGCUCACCUUCUCCUGCUCAAACUGCUGACAAUGUUUCUGCUACUCUAAAGUCUGGUCUCCAGAACUUCCUAAAAACUCUCAAAGUCUCUUCUGCUGCAGGUUGCUUUGUAGAACUGUUCCAGAAAACCUCACUAAACCACAUGGAGGGGCCUCAAGAUAGUCGUCCAAAUGAAACUGUACAAAAACCAAACUAGCACAACCCAAACGCUAAAGUCUCCUGCAGCCUACCAGAGAACCUCUGAGAACAGAGAAUCAGGACA